GUGAUUUCAAUCAACUGAAAAAAAGUUGAAUCUCCAUUAUAACCAUCUUUACAUAUAGACUGCUUUCGAAAACUAUAUCAAAUGAUUUACACAACCGCAGAUUCACUAACAAAAAUCGACUAUGCCAAGUCUGCUACGACUCAUGUAUGUGCAACUUUUGAAUAUAGCAGCCCAGUGCUCCACGAAAGGAUUGAUUGUUUGUGGAAAAGCAACAAUGAUUGACAGGCAAUACACUGUGAUAUGCCUGGUGGAUGCACAACUUGUAUUAUAUCAGGCCGGUGCUCCCAAAAGGAUUGGUUGUUUGUGGAUGAGCAACAUGAUUGGUAGGAAAAGCACUGAACCCUGCAUCACCAAAAGGGUUGUGGGGAUUCAGCAUUGGAUUUUGAGGUUGUGGAUAGGCAGGUUCGAAUGGUCCAAAAGGAUUCAUUUGAUGUUGAGGAACCGCAGCCAUUUGCACUGACGGAGGGGGAGGCAUGGUGGUAGACAUGGCAAAUGGAUCAGCAACUUCAAAUGGAUUAGGGGCUGGUGCUCCAUAUACUGGUCGUUGAGAUGCUCUAUAUGCUCCUUCAUCAUACAAACUAUUCAGUGUGAGGGAGUCCAAUCCACCAGCCAAUUGUCUCUCCUGAGCUGCAGAUAAGUCGCUGCUGGGAGUAGUGACCAGGGC
This 664-nucleotide unclassified non-coding RNA is filed under the name Hevea brasiliensis (rubber tree). The record is from RNAcentral. Lineage: Eukaryota; Viridiplantae; Streptophyta; Magnoliopsida; Malpighiales; Euphorbiaceae.